CCCCUCGUGGCGGAACUGGCAGACGCGCCUGGCUCAGAACCAGGAGUCGAGAGACGUGUCCGUUCGAAUCGGACCGAGGGGA
RNAcentral lists this transfer RNA (82 nucleotides) under Rhizobacter gummiphilus. RNAcentral's name for it is "Methylibium sp. NS21 tRNA". It matches the Rfam family "tRNA". From Rfam's summary of the family: Transfer RNA (tRNA) molecules are approximately 80 nucleotides in length. Their secondary structure includes four short double-helical elements and three loops (D, anti-codon, and T loops). The record is from Rfam by way of RNAcentral. Lineage: Bacteria; Pseudomonadati; Pseudomonadota; Betaproteobacteria; Burkholderiales; Sphaerotilaceae.